RNAcentral lists this long non-coding RNA (2650 nucleotides) under Lactuca sativa (garden lettuce). RNAcentral describes it as "long non-coding RNA (LSAT_LNC005054)". Lineage: Eukaryota; Viridiplantae; Streptophyta; Magnoliopsida; Asterales; Asteraceae. The record is from RNAcentral.
UCCAUCUUUCAUUAAACAAAAAAAAAACGUAAGAAAAAUCGACCUCAGUUUUUCAUAUCUCUGCGUUGAGGUGUUCUCGGUUUCUUCCAAGGUAUGUUUUAAGCAACUAUACUCUGAUUCUGCAUCUUGCUUUCUUCCAUCCGUGAAAAAAAAAACAAACCCCCAAAUCACAAUUCCAUCAACUCUGUUUUCUUUCAGCUUCCUUGUUCUUGCGUUCAGGUACCCAACGAUCAACCCUUCAUGUAGCAUCGUCUUUAAUCCCCCUGUUACUGUUACAGAUAUAUCAACUUUGACUGAUUCACGUUUCAUUACUAGUUAUUGAAUAAAUCUUCCGGAAAGGGAGGAGUAGGAUUAGCUUUUACUGGUACGUGAUUUUUAGCUUUUGUUCAGCUCAAUACAUAUACCAACUAGCUUUCAAUAAAGUAUCAAAGACUAUUUUUGAUCAGUAAAUUAGGGUACCUGUUUGUCUAGUAGUACCAAUUUCAACAGUUACAUCCUUCAUCCUCCACCUUCAAUCUCUUGAUUACAAGCUAAUAGAGAAACACCAGUGGCUGAAUCUUUUUAGGGGCAUGCCAUUCUUAGAAAAACUGAAACAAAAAAAAACAAUUGACAUAGCACUUGCCGCCUUCGGUUAUUACAAUACACAUAAAAUCACCCCCAAUCGCUCUCGUCCCCAUCCAUUCCCCGCAUCGCCAAUUCCUAAGCUUCAUCUGCGAUUUCAAUUUGCCCUCAAUUUGGAUUCAACAUCUUUCACUGUCAAUCAUGGACGCUGAAUCGUGGUUGUUGUCUAUCUUCUACAUCCAAGUGUUACCAAUAUGUUCUUCAAUCCCAAUCGUCUGGUAAGAUUUAAUUUAGGGUUUCUUGUAAAAGAUCACAACGCCAAAUCUCACAGGAUGUAAGCUUUGACGUUGUGUUCUGGAUAUUCUCUGCUGGAGCGACGUCUUCAUUACGUUCUCUAAUCGUCUCGAUCCAUCAUAGUGCCUUUCUCCGCCGGAUCGGACCUAACUCUAUGUUGUUGAUAAACUAGGCACAAAAGAAAAGUAAAAAUUGGACCAUUACCAAUUGUAUCUUAUAGUUAUGUUUGUUAUCUCUGAUAAAAUUCAUUUACUUGUUUUAAUAUUCUCCCAAUACGUUUUUAAUAUUUUCCUAAUAAAACUCAUAUACUAUUUGAUAAUUAAUUAAUACUUAAAAAGCUUAUUUGGUUAUUAGAUAGCGUAUUAAGUAGGGGUGAGCAAAAACCGAACCGCAAACCAAAAAAACCGAAAAAACCGCAUAAACCGAAACCGAAAUUGAAACCGAUGGUGCGGUUUUUAGUUUUGCAAAAACCGAAAAUACUCGGUGCGGUGCGGUUUCUAGUCUCUUAAAAACCGCAAAAAACCGAACCGCACCGCAUAUAUAUAUAUAUAUANGAACUUAUGACAAUUAAAAUUUCUAUAAUAUAAAUAUCUAUCUUAUCUAUCGAAUGAUGAUUGUAUAUUUUUAAGCAUACAUUCAAUGGUAUUUACAAUAACAAAUAAUGUUUAUGACAUUUUUUAAUAUUUAAAUAUGAAGAGUACAAUAUCAUUUUUAUGAAUAUAUUAAUUGAUAUUAUUGUAUGUUUUAUGAAACAAAUAUUAUAUUAAAUUCGUAUUAUAUUCAAUCAUUACAAACAUGUUGGAUGAGUGGUUAUGUAAUUUGAUUUCAAACAAAGAGGUGGUGGUAUCGGUUUAUCUCCAAAAAAUGAUUAGCACUCCUCAUCUGAGUCAAAUUAACUUGCAGAGUUACUUGAGUUUUAGUAAAAAUGCAAAACGAAAACCAAAAAAAAAACUAACAAAAAACCGCAAAAAAAACCGAACCGCAAAAACCGAACCGCAUAAAACCGAACGGUGCGGUUUCUAAAUUUGAAAAAACCGAAGUUGCGGUUUUCGGUUCGGUUUUGGCCAAAAACCGCAUCAAACCGCACCAUGCUCACCCCUAGUAUUAAGCAUUCUUGAGAAUAGUUUUCAUAUAUAAAAUCAUUAUUUAUUUAUUUUGUUAAAAUUGUAAAUUUAGUUAUAUAAAUAAUAACUUAUUAAUAUAAUGUAAAAACCGGGUGCUAUAAGUUAUGUUAAAAAUCCUACAAAAUAUACCUAAUAUCGUGUCAAUUUUUUAAACUAUUAUUAUUAUUUUAUUAUAAAUUAAAUUGCAUAUUCGUUUUUACUUUUGUUAUUUGAAUUUGGUUAUAAAUUAUUUUUGUUUUUGUUUUUAUCUUACAGGUAGUUAGCCUUCAACAAACUUUAUAGCGAGCUUCUUCAAGUUCUUUUCUCUAGCUGCAUGGUAUAGUUACUUCCCCAUAGUUAAAAAAAAAUAUUGUUGGUUUAUUUUAAAUACUUAAUUUGUUAAUAAAUGUUCAAAUAUGAAACAAGUUAUUUAAAAAAUAGACUAGGAGUGUUAACUUACAACCAUAUUUUUUAUAUAUUUAUUGUGUAUGUAUCUUAGUACUAACUAAAUUUCUUGAGUUAUAUAUGAAUCGUGAUACUUGGAUGUAUGGAUUACAACGUCAUGACAAAGAAUACUUAACUAGGUUGAAGGAUUUUCUUAAAGUUGCUGAGGGACAUCGAGUAAAAAAAGGAGAAAGACAAAUUUGGUGUCCUUGUAAAAAGUGUCAAAAUUGUAAAAAUUUUACCGAUUC